GAUGAACGCUGGUGGCGUGCCUAAUACAUGCAAGUCGAGCGAACGGACGAGAAGCUUGCUUCUCUGAUGUUAGCGGCGGACGGGUGAGUAACACGUGGAUAACCUACCUAUAAGACUGGGAUAACUUCGGGAAACCGGAGCUAAUACCGGAUAAUAUUUUGAACCGCAUGGUUCAAUAGUGAAAGACGGUCUUGCUGUCACUUAUAGAUGGAUCCGCGCUGCAUUAGCUAGUUGGUAAGGUAACGGCUUACCAAGGCAACGAUGCAUAGCCGACCUGAGAGGGUGAUCGGCCACACUGGAACUGAGACACGGUCCAGACUCCUACGGGAGGCAGCAGUAGGGAAUCUUCCGCAAUGGGCGAAAGCCUGACGGAGCAACGCCGCGUGAGUGAUGAAGGUCUUCGGAUCGUAAAACUCUGUUAUUAGGGAAGAACAUAUGUGUAAGUAACUGUGCACAUCUUGACGGUACCUAAUCAGAAAGCCACGGCUAACUACGUG
This 497-nucleotide ribosomal RNA is filed under the name uncultured bacterium. RNAcentral's name for it is "partial 16S ribosomal RNA". It matches the Rfam family "Bacterial small subunit ribosomal RNA", at positions 28 to 507 of the family's 1533-position model. The record is from RNAcentral.